This 117-nucleotide ribosomal RNA is filed under the name Actinomycetota bacterium. The record is from RNAcentral. Lineage: Bacteria; Bacillati; Actinomycetota.
CCUGGCCGUUCAAGCGGGGCCCCUACACCCGUUCCCAUCCCGAACACGGAAGUGAAAUGCCCCAGCACCGACAAUACCCGGAGGGCAACCUCCCAGGAAUCUAGGCCACCGCCAGGA